GGGAAUGUGGCUUAGUGGUAUAGUGCUUGCCUAAUGUGCAUGAAGCCCUGGGUUUGAUUCCUCAGUACCA
This 70-nucleotide transfer RNA is filed under the name Dipodomys ordii (Ord's kangaroo rat). It matches the Rfam family "tRNA". From Rfam's summary of the family: Transfer RNA (tRNA) molecules are approximately 80 nucleotides in length. The record is from Rfam by way of RNAcentral. Lineage: Eukaryota; Metazoa; Chordata; Mammalia; Rodentia; Heteromyidae.